RNAcentral lists this long non-coding RNA (856 nucleotides) under Sinocyclocheilus anshuiensis. RNAcentral's name for it is "lncRNA (ENSSANG00000016403.1)". The record is from RNAcentral. Lineage: Eukaryota; Metazoa; Chordata; Actinopteri; Cypriniformes; Cyprinidae.
AUAUGCUGAAAAGACAUUAAUGUUGGCUUCUUUUCCAAACAGUGUAACUUUAGAAGACCAACUUGGCUACUUUGCUGAACCAUGUCAACCUGCACUCAAAGAGGAGUCAAGCUUUGCACCAAAUGAUGCAAUGGAGGGACCUUUAUCACAGGCAGAGUGGAGAAAUGUCUACCUCAUGGACUUUGAUCCUGUCAACCCGUUGUUGGUGUGUAUGGUUUGUGGAGAGCAGCAGUACUCUGUGAGUGUGGAAGGCGUCAAGGCUCACAUUGAGGAGGCGCAUCCUGAUACACUAUCAUUGGGAGACCUUGAACAACAAGGCAUUCUCGAUGCCUGGGAUAAACAGGUGGCAGUCCGAGAGCACUUCAUCACCCACCAGCUUCAACAGCGAUGCAGAGCUUCUACAGAACGGAAUUUAACCUGCCCGGUCAAAAUUGAAGCUAAGGUCAAGGCCGAAGACUUUGAGUGAACUGAUGGGUGACUGACAGACAAUACCCGUCUUGUUCUGAUGGCCAUCUAGUUGAUGAGGUCUUCGCAGGGGAUCUGUCUCUGUGGCUCAUCUAGUUGACGUGGUCUCCGCUGACGUUCACUAAAACCUAACUUCAUGUCUUAAUGAUUUAAGAUUCUGUUUUCUUACAUUUUCUUUGUAAGUUCCAUCAGUCACGUAAGAGAUCAAUAUCAAAAUGUUGAUUCACCCUUUUUUCACUACUGAGCCUCAUUAACUGUACGUUUAAAUUCUGGUAAUACUCCAAACAGUGCAUUUACAGAACCUGUAAAUCAGGUUACAAAAUAAGAUCCAUCUAUAAAAACGUUAACACACACAACAACUGGCAUGUUAUCCUGUAAUCUAAAGAACUGC